This 150-nucleotide long non-coding RNA is filed under the name Dermacentor andersoni. RNAcentral describes it as "uncharacterized LOC126533894". The record is from RNAcentral. Lineage: Eukaryota; Metazoa; Arthropoda; Arachnida; Ixodida; Ixodidae.
UAGUGAGUGAGGACUCGGACACUUCUUUGAAAACGCGCCGUGUGUACAAUGCUUCCUUCUUUGUAUAUGUUAUCGCACUGGUGGAAUUGUGCCGUGAUUGUGACUCAGUGUUCGUAUCGUCUCUUGUUGAAAUAAACUUUUUCUAAACGC